This is a non-coding RNA of Oryctolagus cuniculus (rabbit), 442 nucleotides long. The record is from RefSeq and is a predicted model, not a curated record. NCBI's taxonomy places the organism in Eukaryota, Metazoa, Chordata, Mammalia, Lagomorpha, Leporidae.
GGUUUUUCUGUGCAGCAGCCUUUCCAAGUCGCAGGGAUCCCAGACCGAUAAACAAUGUGGUCGAUGCCGUUGGAUCCUUCAUGUCGUCAAUGGCUUUAAGCCAAUGAUUUUGAAAGCAAAACAUUUAUUCAGCCUUUGAAACAAUACUGUUGGGAUUAAUGCUACUGUGGUCCAGGAAUAUACUCUGCAGCCUCUUUCUGCAGAGUGCAAUGGGAACACCAUUCAGAUCGUAUCACAGUGCAACGCUCUGAAGGCGUAGUGAAUCAUCUCAUACCCACUGUCCCAGCAAACGGCAAUUUAAUGCUUACCCUCAGAAGCUGUCCUGCCUGUAGAAGAUAAAAAGAGGAGCCUGGGCCAUCUAACAAGGUUAAAGGAAAGUGAUAUUCCUAUGGAUUCAUUCUUAGUCCAGACAGAAUGUUACUUUCACUUGUAUAAUGUAAUU